Long non-coding RNA from Syngnathus typhle (broad-nosed pipefish), 2857 nucleotides. RefSeq lists it as uncharacterized. The transcript is spliced from 3 exons. Lineage: Eukaryota; Metazoa; Chordata; Actinopteri; Syngnathiformes; Syngnathidae. The record is from RefSeq and is a predicted model, not a curated record.
GGGAGAGGCAUGGGAUGGAUGGGAAAACGACAAACCAGGGCUGCAUUUAUUUGGGGUGUGUGUGUGAAUGCCACACUGCAGGCUGUGGGAUGGUCUGGAGAAGUGUGAGGUGUUGCUGUUAAGUGGGAAAGAGCAUGCACAGAUAGCAUGGUGGAAGACUUGGGUUGGGGGGGGGGAGAAAAAAGGUGGAGGUGGUUGUUGUUGGGGGGAGAUGGAAGGAUUGGUCAUGCGCAAGUCACCUCACCACUUUGUAAUGCCACCUGGUUGUGGUAAAAGGCUUGUCUGCACUUUGAAUGCAGUCAGAGUCAAGGCUGAGCAUGAGGAGGUCACACAGAGACCGCGGGCCGUUGGAGGCAUCUUAAAAAUCUCUUACAUCUGGAGGAGCCAUAAUUCACAGGAUUUGGCCUGACAGCCAUGACAGCCAUUGGGGCGGCCAGCAACAACUGUCUCCUGUGUUAGCAGCCUAGUAUGUGUCUGAGAGAGAGCGAGAGAGCGAGAGAACGAGAACAAUAUUUGUAUGCCUUUUUAGUGUACAUUUAAUCUAUGCAGAUGCUAUUAAAUGUGAUCAAAUUUGCUCUGAUAUAAUAUCAAUAAUAUAAUAUACAUGACAGCAAUAUAUUUUGAAUUAUUUCUGAAUUACAGUCAGGGUGAGGUGCAGCCACAGGUUGUUGCUUUUCUCAAACGUCAUCGUGAUAUGGCCCUAAAUAUUCCACACGGACAGUAGCGAAGCCUAAAAUCCUGCAUUCCACAUUCCUCAUUCAGACGGCUUGCCUGCUAAGCCGGGCAGCACAUGAACAGCCAUUGUUAGAGAAGGAGAGGAGGAGCGUCAUGUAUUUCUCUCUCUCCGGCCAUCCAUCCAUCUGUCCGUCUAUCUGUAUUCUCUUGUCACACAUCCACGUCUAGCUCUCCUUGUCCGCCUUCAUCUCUCUUACGUGUCGCUUUACUGCCCACUCCUACCGUUCGCCUACCACCUCGUAUUUCUUUUAUCCUCGUCUAUCCCUCACUUCUGGUUCCCACUGACGUUGUUAGGCUGGCAACUCUUUUACGAUGCCUUCUGCUUCCUCCGUCUUUGUGUCCCUCUCGAUUCCCUCUGCACGUCUCCUUUCCCGUCUGCCUUUCCAGAAAUUCAUGUCGAGCUUUUCUUCACAUUAGAUACAGAUUUAUGACCUACAGCUUGAUCCCCACGGUCACUAAAUUUGAUACCAUUGACUAAGCCACGUUGUUUUCUUGUAUGUUCGGACUUCACUGCGCUUGCGGGUAGGCUCGGCAACACCUGUCGGGUCCCGAGCGUUCCAAGAUGGCAGAUUUAUUUUUAAUCGCUUAGUGCCUGAUUCAAAUGUAUAUAUUAUAUUAGCGUUGUUAUUCUUCACUUUGCGUAAGGCAAACACUGAGGUUGUUGGAGCUGUAGCAAGGUGUGUGUGAGGGGUGUCCGUGUGUGUGUUUGUGUUCAUGUGGGGGUGGGAAAAAAAUGCCUUUUGAGGCCGCACAUUUGUUUUGAUUUUCAUUGCAUUUACUUCAUUUAAUUUAUCUUUGAAAUGAGUAAAAUAUAUUUAAAAACACAUGCAAUACUUCAUCUAAUUAUAUAUCAGGCGGCACUGUGUUUUUGUUAUACAUGUAUUUACAAACCUGACGUAUUACAAAUUGUUUUGAUGAGUACAUUUUUCCAAAAUGAGCGUAUCAUUUUUAGAACUGUUGGAACAUUUGUUCUGAAACACAUUUGGAGUUUAGCUCAUAUGAGUGUGAUCAUUCUGUUCAGAUGUUGAAAUGAUUAAUGUCAUAUCAUAUUUUAGGAGAUUAUACAUGGAGGUAAAGCAAGAUGGCGUGCAUUAAAAGGGAAAUUGCCUAUUUUUGUGCUGAUUCUUUUUUCUUAUUUUCUUCUUACGGAUGACACCAUCUCUAAAGAUUCAAUUGUAUAAACAUACACUCUUUGAAGUGAGAAAAAAAAAUAAUAAUAUAAAAUAGAAGACAAACAGGUGGAAAAGAAUCCUUAUAGAGUUUGAUAAAGAAUUCUGACAGGAGUCACGUCACAGGCGCUUGUCCUCUUGCCAUGCAUAUUUGAUUUGCUCUAGGUGGUAUUUGUAGUGUAUUUAUGUUUCCUUAUUUGAAUCCUAUUCCACAAGUUGCCACUGGUGGGGCGCAUUACAAUGACACCAGCCAUUGUAAUGUUGUUUGCGCCAAGCCAGGUGGAAUUUUCCGUUUGAUGUUUGCUUGUGCUGAAAUGCACCAAAUAAAAGCCUCGCGAGAUAAAGGUGUGUUCUUGCACAUGUCUGAGUGUGCGUGCGCCUGUUGCUUCAAACUAUUCAUCUGUCACUCAAUGUGUGCACAUUGUUUGCACCGGUGUGCUCACAUCCACGUAUAAAAGUCAUAUCGUGCUUGAGAUCAAAUGUUGUAUCAAGGAGGAGAGUGACAGAGAUGGCCAAAGUGAUGGCUCUUUAAUGUAACCUAUCCUAUCUCAAACCAAAAUAAAUAGAAGAGCAGAAAGACACAGAAUAAGCAAGUGUGUUUUAGGGCAAAUGGGGUGACAUGAAACACUUAGACAGAAAAGCGCUGAACACGACGGCGGCUUUGUAGUGACAGAAAAGAAACGUCCCACCAAAACACCGAAAGAGAAUAAAUUGGAAGCGUCGCAGACUGAAGUUAUUCGCACCUGCCUAAGAUAAAGUAGAAUCCACACAGUUGAACACAAUACAUUGUGUGACCUGCCAUUUCAUCUUCCCAUUCAUUAGUUACAUAUUCUCAAUAAAUAAUAGUCAUUUAUUAUUUCCAUAUGAACCUGUGGUUUGGAAGUAAAGCAUGACUGCAUCUGUCAACAAAAAAGUAUGUGUCGAUCUAUCUUUGUCAGCGACUGUCAAAGUAU